GUGAAAUUAGAAAAUAAUACAGAAAAAUGAGAAAAACCAUUGCAUCUAGUUUUCAAUACUUACACCAAAGUAUUUAGAUUCGUAGCAUGAAUUUAAUCUGAAGUAGAAGUUUCUCUCUCGUAUUUGGACAGAUCAUGCAUCUUAACAUUUUAUUGCUUAUUGUUGCCCUAUGCGGUAUUACUUCAGGUCUCCAGUGCUAUUUUUGCAUUAGCACGACUGCAAAUGACGCCUGCCACGCUGCAGGUAGAAACCACUCUACCAGUUCAUGCAUAGCAGGAGAAGAUAACUGUGUUUCGUUUUACUUUCAAAGCGGUGAUGCAACAACUGCCUACAGAGGAUGCUGGAGAGGCAAUCCUUGCGACCACUCUUCAUAUAAGUCGUGCGAUUAUUGUACUUGUGAUCAUUGUAACAGAGAUGCCAUAGUAAUUUCUUAGAUUAGAAUGAUGUAUAAUUCUAAUGACUGAUCCUUUAAUUACCUAGAUAGUACCUAUAACUAUUGCAAUUGUGAAUAUUGGUUUUAUUUUACUUACUUAUUUAUCCCAAUAAAUAGUUUUUAUUUAU
This is a long non-coding RNA of Photinus pyralis (common eastern firefly), 561 nucleotides long. RefSeq lists it as uncharacterized. The transcript is spliced from 4 exons. The record is from RefSeq and is a predicted model, not a curated record. Lineage: Eukaryota; Metazoa; Arthropoda; Insecta; Coleoptera; Lampyridae.